RNAcentral lists this microRNA precursor (55 nucleotides) under Spodoptera frugiperda (fall armyworm). RNAcentral describes it as "microRNA sfr-mir-10492a precursor". The record is from miRBase by way of RNAcentral. Lineage: Eukaryota; Metazoa; Arthropoda; Insecta; Lepidoptera; Noctuidae.
GCGUUUAGCUCUCUGAUUGGUUGGAUGACUUACAGCCAAUCAGAGCGCCGAACGU